RNAcentral lists this ribosomal RNA (412 nucleotides) under uncultured bacterium. RNAcentral describes it as "bacterial SSU rRNA". It matches the Rfam family "Bacterial small subunit ribosomal RNA", at positions 505 to 916 of the family's 1533-position model. The record is from RNAcentral.
GUGUCAGCAGCCGCGGUAAUACGUAGGUGGCAAGCGUUGUCCGGAUUAUUGGGCGUAAAGCGAACGCAGGCGGGAGAACAAGUCAGCUGUGAAAGCCCUCGGCUUAACCGAGGAACGGCAACUGAAACUGUUUUUCUUGAGUGCAGAAGAGGAGAGUGGAACUCCAUGUGUAGCGGUGAAAUGCGUAGAUAUAUGGAAGAACACCAGUGGCGAAGGCGGCUCUCUGGUCUGUAACUGACGCUGAGGUUCGAAAGCAUGGGUAGCGAACAGGAUUAGAUACCCUGGUAGUCCAUGCCGUAAACGAUGAGUGCUAAGUGUUGGGAGGUUUCCGCCUCUCAGUGCUGCAGCUAACGCAUUAAGCACUCCGCCUGGGGAGUACGACCGCAAGGUUGAAACUCAAAGAAAUUGACGG